ACAUGUUUACUAUUCAAUCCACUACUGGGGAUUCCUACAAACUCAGAGCACUGGACGCCCAAGAGGAAGAGUUAUGGAUGACCCAGCUACAGCUGUGUUCCCGACGCCACUCUGACGGCAGUGCCAAGGUGAUGAUCCAGGCUGAAGGGCAGCAGAAGAGCCUGGUCAAUUCUAUUGAGUCUCUACACCCCCGAGGUGGACCCCUCUCUUCUCUGGA
This is a long non-coding RNA of Cottoperca gobio, 217 nucleotides long. RefSeq lists it as uncharacterized. Lineage: Eukaryota; Metazoa; Chordata; Actinopteri; Perciformes; Bovichtidae. The transcript is spliced from 3 exons. The record is from RefSeq and is a predicted model, not a curated record.